CCUACGGGAGGCAGCAGUGAGGAAUAUUGGUCAAUGGACGAGAGUCUGAACCAGCCAAGUAGCGUGAAGGAUGACUGCCCUAUGGGUCGUAAACCUCUUUUAUAUGGGAAUAAAACGCUCCACGUGUGGGAUUCUGUAUGUACCAUAUGAAUAAGGAUCGGCUAAUUCCGUGCCAGCAGCCGCGGUAAUACGGAGGACCCGAGCGUUAUCCGGAUUUAUUGGGUUUAAAGGGAGCGUAGGUGGAGUGUUAAGUCAGUUGUGAAAGGUUGCGGCUCAACCGUAAAAUUGCAGUUGAAACUGGCAGUCUUGAGUACAGUAGAGGUGGGCGGAAUUCGUGGUGUAGCGGUGAAAUGCUUAGAUAUCACGAAGAACUCCGAUUGCGAAGGCAGUUCACUGGACUGCAACUGACGCUGAGGCUCGAAGGUGUGGGUAUCAAACAGGAUUAGAUACCCCUGUAGUC
This 460-nucleotide ribosomal RNA is filed under the name uncultured bacterium. Its description in RNAcentral is "partial 16S ribosomal RNA". It matches the Rfam family "Bacterial small subunit ribosomal RNA", at positions 338 to 795 of the family's 1533-position model. The record is from RNAcentral.